CCUACGGGAGGCAGCAGUGAGGAAUAUUGGUCAAUGGGCGGAAGCCUGAACCAGCCAAGUAGCGUGCAGGAUGACGGCCCUACGGGUUGUAAACUGCUUUUAUACGGGAAUAACGCGCCUUACGUGUAGGGCUUUGCAUGUACCCUAUGAAUAAGGACCGGCUAAUUCCGUGCCAGCAGCCGCGGUAAUACGGAAGGUCCGGGCGUUAUCCGGAUUUAUUGGGUUUAAAGGGAGCGCAGGCGGGAAGUCAAGCGUGCUGUGAAAUGUCCGGGCUCAACCCGGGCCUUGCAGCGGAAACUGGCGUGCUUGAGUGAGCGGAAAGCAGGCGGAAUGCGUGGUGUAGCGGUGAAAUGCUUAGAUAUGACGAAGAACCCCGAUUGCGAAGGCAGCUUGCUGCAGCGGAACUGACGCUGAUGCACGAAAGCGCGGGUAUCGAACAGGAUUAGAUACCCUUGUAGUC
RNAcentral lists this ribosomal RNA (460 nucleotides) under uncultured bacterium. RNAcentral describes it as "partial 16S ribosomal RNA". It matches the Rfam family "Bacterial small subunit ribosomal RNA", at positions 338 to 795 of the family's 1533-position model. The record is from RNAcentral.